GCAAGUCGAACGGUAACAGGAAGUGCUUGCACUUCGCUGACGAGUGGCGGACGGGUGAGUAAUACUUAGGGAUCUGCCCUAUGGUGGGGGAUAACUAUUGGAAACGAUAGCUAAUACCGCAUAAUGUCUACGGACCAAAGGGGGCUUCGGCUCUCGCCUAAGGAUGAACCUAAGCGAGAUUAGCUUGUUGGUGAGGUAAUAGCUCACCAAGGCGACGAUCUCUAGCUGUUCUGAGAGGAAGAUC
This 244-nucleotide ribosomal RNA is filed under the name uncultured bacterium. RNAcentral describes it as "partial 16S ribosomal RNA". It matches the Rfam family "Bacterial small subunit ribosomal RNA", at positions 57 to 305 of the family's 1533-position model. The record is from RNAcentral.